UGGGGAAUCUUGCGCAAUGGGCGAAAGCCUGACGCAGCAACGCCGCGUGCGGGAUGAAGGCCUUCGGGUUGUAAACCGCUUUCAGCAGGGACGAACGUGACGGUACCUGCAGAAGAAGCCCCGGCUAACUACGUGCCAGCAGCCGCGGUAAUACGUAGGGGGCAAGCGUUAUCCGGAUUUAUUGGGCGUAAAGAGCGCGUAGGCGGUCUGUUAAGCGAGAUGUGAAAACCGGGGGCUCAACCCGCGGCCUGCAUCUCGAACUGGCAGACUUGAGUCUGGUAGAGGAAAGUGGAAUUCCUGGUGUAGCGGUGAAAUGCGCAGAUAUCAGGAGGAACACCAGUGGCGAAGGCGGCCUUCUGGGCCACGACUGACGCUGAGGCGCGAAAGCUAGGGGAGCGAACAGG
RNAcentral lists this ribosomal RNA (404 nucleotides) under uncultured prokaryote. RNAcentral's name for it is "bacterial SSU rRNA". It matches the Rfam family "Bacterial small subunit ribosomal RNA", at positions 355 to 776 of the family's 1533-position model. RNAcentral also lists the same sequence under 1 other name. The record is from RNAcentral.